AGAUCGUGGCCGCUCUGACGCGGGCACGGUCGAAGCAAAAGUGAUAAGUGCACCGCCUGGGGAGUACGGUCGCAAGGCUAAAACUCAAAGGAAUUGACGGGGGCUCACACAAGCGGUGGAGCAUGUGGCUUAAUUCGAAGCAACGCGAAGAACCUUAUCCUGGGUUGAACUACGACGGAUUAACUGCUGGAAACAGCAGUGACGCGCUUGCGUGGAACGUCGAUAGGUGCUGCAUGGCUGUCGUCAGCUCGUGCUGUGAAGUGUCGCGUUAAGUCGCUUAACGAGCGAAACCCCUAUCGCUAGUUGCCAGCGGGUAAAGCCGGGGACUCUAGCGAGACUGCCGGCGUUAAGCCGGAGGAAGUGGGGAUGACGUCAAGUCCUCAUGGCCUUUAUGCCCAGGGCUGCACACGUGCUACAAUGCCGACUACAGAGCGAAGCGAUACCGCAAGGUGGAGCAAAUCGCAAAAAAGUCGGCCCAGUUCGGAUUGCGGUCUGCAACUCGACCGCAUGAAGUUGGAAUCGCUAGUAAUCGCGUAUCAGCUACGACGCGGUGAAUAUGUUCCUGAGCUUGUACACACCGCCCGUCAAGUCAUGGAAGCUGGGGGGACCCGAAGCCGCAUCAUUUCAGAUGUGUCGAAGUCACUCGGCUG
RNAcentral lists this ribosomal RNA (650 nucleotides) under uncultured bacterium. RNAcentral describes it as "bacterial SSU rRNA". It matches the Rfam family "Bacterial small subunit ribosomal RNA", at positions 818 to 1474 of the family's 1533-position model. The record is from RNAcentral.